GCAAACAUAGUUUAAACCCAAACAUUAGAUUGUGAUUCUAAAAAUAGGAGUUCAACCCUCCUUGUUUGCC
Molecule: transfer RNA, 70 nt
Filed under: Lophophorus lhuysii (Chinese monal)
Lineage: Eukaryota; Metazoa; Chordata; Aves; Galliformes; Phasianidae
Description: tRNA-His
Rfam family: tRNA
About the family: Transfer RNA (tRNA) molecules are approximately 80 nucleotides in length.
Source: RNAcentral